CCCGGGCUACGGGACAGCCCCACAGGGCUGGACGCACGCUGUUGUCAGUCUUUUCUGUAACAAAUGAUGAUUCAAUAGGUCAGCUUGGAACUUGUCAUUAUAUAUGCGCGCAGGAGCAGCCACAGGGUGAAUUCCCAGCAGCCAGAUUGCUGGGUGAAGUAAGUGCAUUGACACUUCUGAUAGAUGAGAAAUCCCUGUCCACUGUCGCUUCCUUUGCCCAGUGGACCUCCUCCCAGCAAGGGCUGGGCGCCGCUUCCGCAGCCGAACAUGCUGGAAAACUCUGGGGGUUUUGCCAAUCUGAGGAAGAGAAAAUCAUAAAGCUGAACAAUCUCAGAGGAGGCAGCACUGAAUCUCAUCCAGCAUCUAGAUCUAACUACUACUUUACAAAAAGUGCAGAGGACGUUUACAUGACACCACCAGUGUGCAAUCAGCAAACUCAGAACAUGGAAAACGCCAUAAGACGAAAGACCUGGUUUCUUCAACAAAUACAAUUUAAGGGAAAAGAGAGGGCGACUAUAGAUGAAAAAGGACCCAGAGAUACAUCAGCAGGUACAAUGUAUGCACUUUGGACCUGGCUCGAACAGACUCCCAAAAAGAAAUGUGAACACUGACUGGGUAUCUGCUGAUGUUGAAGAAAUGCUGCUCAUUUUUUUUUAGAAACUUCCUCUUACUGGAAACUCAAUUCCUGACAGAUGGAGAGAAAGGGAAACAAUGAUUCUCCAGAGCAUUUGACUACUGAGAUCUUUCCCCCUGAGCCUUCCCGGGACUUACUGCUCCAUGGACACAUUUUCUGAAAUGCCCUUGGAGAUUAUGAUGCCUUCAGAGGACGUCUCAUGCCCAUCUUCUAAGGACAGACUGGAAACAAUAAGGUUGUAAGCUUCUGAGGACUAAGACCAGGACAUUCCAUCACAGGGCAAAACUCUCAGCUUGUCAAACAAGCCUCACCCUUCACAGAGAGAGCACAAGAUGGAAAGUCCUGUGUCUGUUCCGGCAUUGACGAGGGCUCCCCUGGUUUGGCUCUCUGGAGUCAGGUGGGAAGGGUGACGGAGACCACUGUCUUCUUGAAAGUGGGAGAGGGUUGUGACUCUCAGCUCUGGC
RNAcentral lists this long non-coding RNA (1098 nucleotides) under Equus caballus (horse). RNAcentral's name for it is "lncRNA (ENSECAG00000048832.1)". The record is from RNAcentral. Lineage: Eukaryota; Metazoa; Chordata; Mammalia; Perissodactyla; Equidae.